UGAGGAAUAUUGGGCAAUGGGCGAAAGCCUGACCCAGCAACGCCGCGUGGAGGAUGAAGGCUUUAGGGUUGUAAACUCCUUUUGUGGGGGAAAAGAAUGGAUGGUACCCCAAGAAUAAGUCACGGCUAACUACGUGCCAGCAGCCGCGGUAAUACGUAGGUGACAAGCGUUAUCCGGAAUUACUGGGCGUAAAGCGCACGCAGGCGGUCAGAUAAGUCUGAUGUGAAACCUUCUGGCUUAACCAGAAGACGUCGUUGGAUACUGUUUGACUUGAGGCGAUGAGAGGAAUGCGGAAUCCCCGGUGUAAUGGUGGAAUAUGUAGAUAUCGGGGGGAACAUCUGAGGCGAAAGCGGCAUUCUGGCAUUAGCCUGACGCUCAUGUGCGAAAGCGUGGGGAGCAAACGGG
This 405-nucleotide ribosomal RNA is filed under the name uncultured bacterium. Its description in RNAcentral is "bacterial SSU rRNA". It matches the Rfam family "Bacterial small subunit ribosomal RNA", at positions 355 to 776 of the family's 1533-position model. The record is from RNAcentral.